GCGUAAUAGCUCACUGGUCGAGUCGGCCUGCGCGGAAGAUGUAACGGGGCUAAACCAUGCACCGAAGCUGCGGCAGCGACACUGUGUGUUGUUGGGUAGGGGAGCGUUCUGUAAGCCUGCGAAGGUGACCUGUGAGGGUUGCUGGAGGUAUCAGAAGUGCGAAUGCUGACAUAAGUAACGAUAAAGCGGGUGAAAACCCCGCUCGCCGGAAGACCAAGGGUUCCUGUCCAACGUUAAUCGGGGCAGGGUGAGUCGACCCCUAAGGC
Molecule: ribosomal RNA, 266 nt
Filed under: Escherichia coli
Lineage: Bacteria; Pseudomonadati; Pseudomonadota; Gammaproteobacteria; Enterobacterales; Enterobacteriaceae
Description: partial 23S ribosomal RNA
Rfam family: Bacterial large subunit ribosomal RNA
Source: RNAcentral